Molecule: small nucleolar RNA, 134 nt
Organism: Rattus norvegicus (Norway rat)
Lineage: Eukaryota; Metazoa; Chordata; Mammalia; Rodentia; Muridae
Product: small nucleolar RNA SNORA29
Source: Ensembl
UUUCCCAUUUGACUACCACACUUUCUCCUAAUAGAGUUUAGUGGCUAUGCUUAUGGGAUAGAUGAAGGGUGCCAUGAUCUGAACAGGGGCUGCUCCGUGUCUUCCCUUUGUAUGAAGUGGCUGAACAGGAAGAA